This 484-nucleotide ribosomal RNA is filed under the name uncultured bacterium. Its description in RNAcentral is "partial 16S ribosomal RNA". It matches the Rfam family "Bacterial small subunit ribosomal RNA", at positions 30 to 507 of the family's 1533-position model. The record is from RNAcentral.
AUUGAACGCAGGCGGCAGGCCUAACACAUGCAAGUCGAGCGGAUGAAGGGAGCUUGCUCCUGGAUUCAGCGGCGGACGGGUGAGUAAUGCCUAGGAAUCUGCCUGGUAGUGGGGGAUAACGUCCGGAAACGGGCGCUAAUACCGCAUACGUCCUGAGGGAGAAAGUGGGGGAUCUUCGGACCUCACGCUAUCAGAUGAGCCUAGGUCGGAUUAGCUAGUUGGUGGGGUAAAGGCCUACCAAGGCGACGAUCCGUAACUGGUCUGAGAGGAUGAUCAGUCACACUGGAACUGAGACACGGUCCAGACUCCUACGGGAGGCAGCAGUGGGGAAUAUUGGACAAUGGGCGAAAGCCUGAUCCAGCCAUGCCGCGUGUGUGAAGAAGGUCUUCGGAUUGUAAAGCACUUUAAGUUGGGAGGAAGGGCAGUAAGUUAAUACCUUGCUGUUUUGACGUUACCAACAGAAUAAGCACCGGCUAACUUCGUG